Molecule: ribosomal RNA, 305 nt
Filed under: uncultured bacterium
Lineage: Bacteria
Description: bacterial SSU rRNA
Rfam family: Bacterial small subunit ribosomal RNA
Source: RNAcentral
GACUCCUACGGGGCGCAGCAGUAGGGAAUUUUCGUCAAUGGGCGCAAGCCUGAGCGAGCGAUGCCGCGUGAGUGAAGAAGGCCUUCGGGUCGUAAAGCUCUGUUGCGGGGGAAAAAAGGCAGCAUCAGGAAAUGGGUGCUGACUGAUGGUGCCCCGCCAGAAAGUCACGGCUAACUACGUGCCAGCAGCCGCGGUAAUACGUAGGUGGCGAGCGUUAUCCGGAAUGAUUGGGCGUAAAGGGGGCGCAGGCGGUCCUGCAAGUCUUGAGUGAAACGCAUGGGCUCAACCCAUGCAUGGCUUUGGAA